GUCUACGGCCUUUCCACCCUGAACAAGCCCGAUCCCGUCUGAUCUCGGAAGCUAAGCAGGGUCGGGCCUGGUUAGUACUUGAUCCCGUCUGAUCUCGGAACCUAAGCAGGGUCAGGCCUGGUUAGUACUUGAAUGGGAGACCACCUAGGAAGACCAGGUGCUGUAAGCG
Molecule: ribosomal RNA, 169 nt
Filed under: Pteropus alecto (black flying fox)
Lineage: Eukaryota; Metazoa; Chordata; Mammalia; Chiroptera; Pteropodidae
Source: RNAcentral